Lemur catta (Ring-tailed lemur) is the source of this 904-nucleotide long non-coding RNA. RefSeq lists it as uncharacterized. The record is from RefSeq and is a predicted model, not a curated record. Lineage: Eukaryota; Metazoa; Chordata; Mammalia; Primates; Lemuridae. The transcript is spliced from 5 exons.
ACCAUCGCCGCCGCCCUCUCGGGGACGCGGGGACGCCGCCGCGUGGCGGGACGGAGAAGUGCCCGGCGCGGGGCCGUGGGCUGCCUUUCCAAGCGGAGGGAACCGAGGAGCGAGGUCUCCCAGCCCGAGACGCCGGCGCGGUUGUGUGACCAGUUCUUUCGACGGAGAAGGAGGUUUUACGAAGUGGGGGGUUCUAGCCAUCCUCCCUCCCAGGGUCACGAGCUUGCGCUCGGCGCUGAGCGGGGCCGUCACCCAUGGGACUUCAGACCCCGAGUUUUGGGGGGCGACAGAGUUCAGUCUCCAGCAGAGGAAUAAUAAGGUCAUUUACUCAAAAAACGUGAAGUAUUUACUGUGCCCCAGGCUCUGUCCUCAGUGCCUGGGACUCAGGUGUGAAUGAGACGGACAGGCUCCGUCUCACAUUGUGGCUGAGCGACAAAGACUAAACAGAGAUAUAGUCUCACUCUGUCACCAGGCAAACUCGAAUUUCUGUGCUCAAGUGAUGCCCCUGCCUCAGCCUCCAGUGUAGCUGGGACUACAGCCACUGAAAGAGAAUUCCCAGAUGCUCCAUUAGAGACUUGAAGUCUUUCAACUGAAUAAAUGAUAUCCCUGAGUACUGAGGCAAUUUGAAAUUUAAAACACAGAACCCUUCCAGAAAUCAUGGAGGGCACCAGAAGGGCUUUAAGUUGGGAAAAAUUUAGGAUUCCAAUCCUUCAAACUUCUAAAAGCGAUCUCUGCAGCUCAGAGAUAUUGUUCACAGAGAUUCUGGGAAUGAAGAAGUUCUGGUAGAGAAUUAGGUUGUGGAGCUUGCUUACAACACCUGCUGCCUUAUUUAAUUCAACAACAGCUGUUCAUUUUCAGACUUCAAGAAGGGUUGUUAUACAAGCAUGUUCUCAUUGUGCCAUGG